UACGUAGGGGGCAAGCGUUGUCCGGAUUUAUUGGGCGUAAAGAGCUCGUAGGCGGUUUGGUAAGUCUGGUGUGAAAUCUCCACGCUCAACGUGGAGGGGCCACCCGAUACUGCCAUGACUGGAGUCCGGUAGAGGAGUGUGGAAUUCCCGGUGUAGCGGUGAAAUGCGCAGAUAUCGGGAGGAACACCUGAGGCGAAGGCGGGCUACUGGGCCGAUACUGACGCUGAUGCGCGAAAGCCAGGGGAGCAAACGGG
This 254-nucleotide ribosomal RNA is filed under the name uncultured bacterium. RNAcentral describes it as "partial 16S ribosomal RNA". It matches the Rfam family "Bacterial small subunit ribosomal RNA", at positions 524 to 776 of the family's 1533-position model. The record is from RNAcentral.